UAGGGAAUCUUCGGCAAUGGACGAAAGUCUGACCGAGCAACGCCGCGUGAGUGAAGAAGGUUUUCGGAUCGUAAAACUCUGUUGUUAGAGAAGAACAAGGACGUUAGUAACUGAACGUCCCCUGACGGUAUCUAACCAGAAAGCCACGGCUAACUACGUGCCAGCAGCCGCGGUAAUACGUAGGUGGCAAGCGUUGUCCGGAUUUAUUGGGCGUAAAGCGAGCGCAGGCGGUUUCUUAAGUCUGAUGUGAAAGCCCCCGGCUCAACCGGGGAGGGUCAUUGGAAGCUGGGAGACUUGAGUGCAGAAGAAGAGAGUGGAAUUCCAUGUGUAGCGGUGAAAUGCGUAGAUAUAUGGAGGAACACCAGUGGCGAAGGCGGCUCUCUGGUCUGUAACUGACGCUGAGGCUCGAAAGCGUGGGGAGCAAACAGG
Molecule: ribosomal RNA, 429 nt
Filed under: Gemmatimonadota bacterium
Lineage: Bacteria; Pseudomonadati; Gemmatimonadota
Description: Gemmatimonadetes bacterium partial 16S ribosomal RNA
Rfam family: Bacterial small subunit ribosomal RNA
Source: RNAcentral